RNAcentral lists this ribosomal RNA (253 nucleotides) under uncultured bacterium. Its description in RNAcentral is "partial 16S ribosomal RNA". It matches the Rfam family "Bacterial small subunit ribosomal RNA", at positions 524 to 776 of the family's 1533-position model. The record is from RNAcentral.
UACGUAGGGCGCAAGCGUUGUCCGGAAUUAUUGGGCGUAAAGAGCUCGUAGGUGGUUUGUCGCGUCCGCUGUGAAAACCCGAGGCUCAACCUCGGGCCUGCAGUGGGUACGGGCAGACUAGAGUGCGGUAGGGGAGACUGGAAUUCCUGGUGUAGCGGUGGAAUGCGCAGAUAUCAGGAGGAACACCGAUGGCGAAGGCAGGUCUCUGGGCCGCAACUGACACUGAGGAGCGAAAGCAUGGGGAGCGAACAGG